AAAACGACUCUUGGAAAUGGAUAUCUCGGCUCUCGCAUCGAUGAAGAACGUAGUGAAAUGCGAUACUUGGUAUGAAUUGCAUAAUCUUGUGAACCAUUGAGUUUUUGAACACAAGUUACGCCCAAAGCCAUUAGGCUAAGGGCAUGUCUGCCUGGGCGUCAUGC
This 164-nucleotide ribosomal RNA is filed under the name Ilex pseudobuxus. RNAcentral describes it as "5.8S ribosomal RNA". It matches the Rfam family "5.8S ribosomal RNA". From Rfam's summary of the family: 5.8S ribosomal RNA (5.8S rRNA) is a component of the large subunit of the eukaryotic ribosome. It is transcribed by RNA polymerase I as part of the 45S precursor that also contains 18S and 28S rRNA. Lineage: Eukaryota; Viridiplantae; Streptophyta; Magnoliopsida; Aquifoliales; Aquifoliaceae. The record is from RNAcentral.